This 276-nucleotide long non-coding RNA is filed under the name Equus caballus (horse). RNAcentral describes it as "lncRNA (ENSECAG00000058011.1)". Lineage: Eukaryota; Metazoa; Chordata; Mammalia; Perissodactyla; Equidae. The record is from RNAcentral.
CCUGACCUAACUACUGCCAAUCCUCCUGUUUUUUUUUGCUGAGGAAGACUGGCCCUGAGCUAACAUUCAUGCCCAUCUUCCUCUACUUUAUAUGUAGGAUGCCUCCCACAGCAUGGCUUGCCAAGCAGUGCCAUGUCCGCACCCGGGAUCCGAACCAGCAAACCCCAGGCCGCCGAAGUGGAACAUGCGAACUUAACUGCUGCGCCACCAGGCUGGCCCCCCAGCCCUGCGGGUCAGACGUCCGGGCCCGACAUAGCAGGCCCUCUGCUCAAGCCG